CCACCUGGUGGCAGCAUUGGUGAAAUGCAUCGUGUUUGGCAUGACAACAGGAUGUAACUUCAUAAAUUCCACAAACAGUGAGCAACUGUGUGCCAUGAAGGGCUACAAGGACACAGUUUAUAGUUGCACCUGAUCACAUCAGUGGGUGAUUUUAUUCAUGAGCUUCUCCCCUCCUGAUGCAAGAUGCUUGUAGGUUUGGGUCCUUAAGGCCUUUUCUCUGUGGAGUUUGCAUGUUCUCCCUGUGUGUGCGUGUUUCUUCCCACCUUUAAAUAUCUGCUAGGUUUGACUCCUUAUGGGUUGCUCAAAACUGUGUAAGGGUGGAGACUGGUGUGGUACUAUGGUGUAAUCCUUGUAGAUCUGUUUCUGAUUUACUGCUUUUAUUCUUGAGAAAGUUUUCUCUCAUCAACUUCUUCCAUAUUUGUUUAGAGAAUUGUAGUUUUGAGCCUCUGCAGUUGACUUUAAGGAUGCACUAUGCAACAAAAACAUCAGCUGCUAAAAUUGUGAAUGAUCUGUUAUUGGGUAUGGAUAUAGUCUAUACUUCAGAGUGACUACUAUUUGAGCUAAUUACUGCAUACAGUUGGUAACUCUAUAUUCUUGGACAGAAACAAAAAGCACUUUGGUAUCUCUGGUCAAUUACUCUUGGCUGAGGUCUUAACCUGUAAGCUUGAUAGCAGUGUGGAUUUAUAACACGACUGGAGCUCUUGGUGAACAGCCAGUCUUCUAUGUGUAAGCCUGAUCCUGUCCGAUCUCAGAAGCUAAGCAGAGUAGGUCCUGGGGAGUACUUGGAUGGGAGACCUAUUUGGAAGACCAGGAGCUGUGUGUGUUUCAUCAAGUUAAGCUGGAGUUGCGCCAGCAAGAGCAUCCGGCAUUGCUAGCAGGUGACUUUGUUGAUGAGCCAAAUUCUAAUGUAGAUCUGGCUUGGAUUUGCUGUGGUAACCCUCAAUGAAUGGGAACAACCAAAAGGCAAAACAACAACUUGAGCUCUUAGUGAAAUUCUGUAAACCUGCAUUAAUGGUUACUGUCUACCAGGUACAGAUAUUGCUCCAUUUCAUGAACCUUGAGUACCUGUUGCCUUGGGACACGAUGACAAAACUGUUGCUUAUACUAGAUGUCUGAAUUUUCCAAAGUGAAGUAUGUGGUAGGGUUGAUUCUGGGUCCACUGUAUUCACUCUUUAUGUAGUUUCUUUUGAUCUGAUUUUAUGCAGCCAUGGGUUAAAUUUCACUAUUUUGCAGAUGUGUAUGUUUGUUUGUUGCAGCAUUGCAGUGAUUAUGCCAAUCCUGUCUAUGGUGGCACAGUGAUUGUGAUUCAUGCUUUUGUGCCUGUAAUUUUUUUUUAUUUUUUGGUUUUCCACAUAGUAAUAUAAGAAAUCUACAAAUAAUCCAGAAUACAGUUUAUAAGAGUCUUGACCAGAAUGAGCAAAUUUGAUCUAGUAUUGGGCUCUCUUUACUGGAUCCUUGUUCAUGCAAGGGCAUAUUUGAAGGUUUUGUUGCUAAUAUGUAAAAUAUGGAAUGAUUGUGCUCCCCCUUUUUUCAUGGUAUUGGUUGAGCUUUGGGUACGGUUUUAAUGUGUUGGUUUGUUGUGAAAUAAAACAAUCAGUGUUUAAGUCAGCACUUAAAAACUCAAUAUUUGCAUUUCACAAAUGGUCUUCAUUCAUUUAUUUGAGCUCACUCUGCAGUUUGUUUUGCUUUUACUCCAUAAGUUUUGUGUUUAUAACCAUUUGCAUUGUUAAACUGGAAAGCACUUUGAAAUUUCUGUUUGCUAGCACUCUGUAACUAAAGUUAUUCUCAUUGUUCUUAUAGGGAAGCGGCAGCACGCAGCUGAAUAUGCGCUUCUCUCUGUUGUGCAAAACCCCUGAACUCAAAGUGGUGCUCAUCAACAAAGUCACCUGCUAGCAACAAAAACUUGCAGCAUCUUACGCAGUUGCUCAUCCUUGAUUUCUAUGGAAGUGUAGAAAUGGAGAGCCUUUUUAAUCUCUGCCUGGGAUCUUGUGUGUGAAUCUUUAAAAAGAACUCAAAUCAGGCAUGUUUUAUUUUUAUGUUAACACACACUUCAGUGUGCUCCAGCUGCAGCCUCACUGUGUCCUUGUUACGAAGCUUCCGCUCAUCUCCGAUCCUCUUCCGAGAACUGUCACUGCCACAUUGAAAUGACCUGUGAAAUACUUUGAUGUUUGUGGAGGGGUGUUUCCUGCAGGACGCUGGGGGAAAGUGCACCUUCAUGGACUGCUGAAUACAACCUACCCAGACACUCACUCUUAAAUUAUUAAAGUACCAAAUGGUGAGAUGCUUGUGAAAGAUGGUGGAUGGGAUUUUGGGAUGAGUUUGUGUGGUGUGUGCUUGUGCGUUUUGACACCUGUGUUGUGCGUUUUCCCAGCUCGAGGGGUGAUGUCACACUGCUCUGCCGUUACUUGGGGAGUCUUGACUGAACCUGGUUUUUUGUAUACGUGUGAUUGUAAAUCCGUGUCAGAUGUUGACUCUUCUUCUGUAGAUAUUUUCUAAGGUGUUCAAAUGUCAUUUUGGCAGAUGUUUGUGGGAUUUCCCCAUUUGCUUUUAUUUGCCUGUGAAGAAAAUGUUUUCUUGGAGUGCCUGUGACAGCUGCUAUAGACAAACAUAAAAAUAAAUAAAUAAAAAGCUACAGCUGUGGAUAAAUGGGGCUCCGAUUAGUUCAUGCAAAUUUCCUUUCUUUGAGUAAACAUUUUAUUUUAAAGUGCUUCAUUCUUGUCUGUUUUAUAUCUUUCUUUGUGGCUUUUAUUUCCUUUCAGACACCAUUUUCUUGCCUUAGUUUAAUGAUUUAUUUUUGUUGUUGUCUGUGCCAAACCUGUUUUCCUCAAUCAGAUUAUUAUUUGUUUCAGUUUAAGGAGGACUGUGCCUGAGUUAGAAUGGUGACAUCUUCUACUGUAUAUCUAUCCACUAUUUUGAAUUCUGUUGUCAGUCAGUGAACCUCUUGUGCAGUGUACGGUGCCGUGUCGUCACACAUUGUGAGCCGCCUUUGUGUGUGUUAUUGAUUUGUGAUUGUACGUUGAGUUAUAUUGAUCCUAUCUAGCUUACCUGAUGAGGUUUUCACAUGCAGACUGUCACAAAUGUCUCUUACAUUUUGACAAAGAUAACAGAACAGUUGCUCUUUUUUUUUCUUUUAAAAUCUCAGUUGUGUUUUUAAAGGUGGGGUACAGGUGUCAGAUUUCAUGCGGAUGCCUCGCACCACAAAGUGUGAUUCAGUUUCCUGCACAGUCCACCAUCACACCAUUUCUCACCGCUGUACUUUCAUCACAUUGCAUCGUACUUUUCCAUGUUCCUGUCAGCAGUUGCAUUUUGCUGCAAGCAUAUUCCCAGACCUUGUCAUGAUUGGUUGAUGUAAACUUCUCAGUUAAACAUAAUACCCUUUUGUCGUCGUCCCCCCUUUUCCAGGCUGCAUUGCAUAUUUCUUCAACAAGCAUUGUCAGCCUCAAACCAGCACAUUGUCAUUUUGUUGGGGAGUCUAAUUCUACCACAGCUGAGUACAUAUCACCCCUGUCUUUUAAUGAUCUACAGCAUAUAGGAUGGCCAUUGUUAACAAGUGAAAAGAAAUGUUUUGUCUUUUUAUAUAGUGCAUUGUUUCCUAUGUGCAAAACAAAUUGGGGAAAAAGAUGUUCAGUGGCAGUGUUUUAUGAAUUUGGUCUGCUGUCGAUAUGACUGUGCCUUUGGAGGUGGUAGAAUGCAAUUCAAAUGUUUUUAAUUUUAAAGAUAUAAAUUAAAAUAAUUUUUAAAAUUGC
This is a long non-coding RNA of Thalassophryne amazonica, 3746 nucleotides long. RefSeq lists it as uncharacterized. The transcript is spliced from 2 exons. NCBI's taxonomy places the organism in Eukaryota, Metazoa, Chordata, Actinopteri, Batrachoidiformes, Batrachoididae. The record is from RefSeq and is a predicted model, not a curated record.